RNAcentral lists this ribosomal RNA (156 nucleotides) under Triticum aestivum (bread wheat). RNAcentral describes it as "rRNA 5_8S_rRNA". It matches the Rfam family "5.8S ribosomal RNA". From Rfam's summary of the family: 5.8S ribosomal RNA (5.8S rRNA) is a component of the large subunit of the eukaryotic ribosome. It is transcribed by RNA polymerase I as part of the 45S precursor that also contains 18S and 28S rRNA. The record is from Rfam by way of RNAcentral. Lineage: Eukaryota; Viridiplantae; Streptophyta; Magnoliopsida; Poales; Poaceae.
GACUCUCGGCAACGGAUAUCUCGGCUCUCGCAUCGAUGAAGAAUGUAGCGAAAUGCGAUACCUGGUGUGAAUUGCAGAAUCCCGCGAACCAUCGAGUCUUUGAACGCAAGUUGCGCCCGAGGCCACUCGGCCGAGGGCACGCCUGCCUGGGCGUCA